GAGACACCCUUCUGGGGCAAGACUUUUGCUUCAGUGGGGCUUUGGUGCUCACUGAGUCUGCCCCCUGAGUGUGUCCCU
Non-coding RNA from Myotis brandtii (Brandt's bat), 78 nucleotides. The record is from Rfam. NCBI's taxonomy places the organism in Eukaryota, Metazoa, Chordata, Mammalia, Chiroptera, Vespertilionidae.